This 778-nucleotide ribosomal RNA is filed under the name uncultured archaeon. Its description in RNAcentral is "bacterial SSU rRNA". It matches the Rfam family "Archaeal small subunit ribosomal RNA", at positions 39 to 820 of the family's 1478-position model. The record is from RNAcentral.
AGGCUGUCUAGCAUGCGAGUCUUUGUAGUAUACAAGGCAUACGGCUCAGUAACGCGUAGUCAACCUACCCUAUGGACAAGAAUAAUCUCGGGAAACUGAGCAUAAUUCUUGAUAGAUCAUAAUGCCUGGAAUGGUAUAUGGUUAAAAUGAUUCGUCGCCAUAGGAUGGGACUGCGGCCUAUCAGCUUGUUGGUGAGGUAAUGGCCCACCAAGGCGAUAACAGGUACGGGCUCUGAGAGGAGAAGCCCGGAGAUGGGUACUGAGACAAGGACCCAGGCCCUAUGGGGCGCAGCAGGCGAGAAAACUUUGCAAUGUGCGAAAGCACGACAAGGUUAGUCCGAGUGAUUUCUGCUAAAGAGAUCUUUUGCUAGUUAUAAAACCACUAGUGAAUAAGGGGUGGGCAAGUUCUGGUGUCAGCCGCCGCGGUAAAACCAGCACCUCAAGUGGUCAGGAUGAUUAUUGGGCCUAAAGCAUCCGUAGCCGGCUCUGUAAGUUUUCGGUUAAAUCCAUACGCUCAACGUAUGGGCUGCCGAAAAUACUGCAGAGAUAGGGAGUGGGAGAGGUAGACGGUACUCGGUAGGAAGGGGUAAAAUCCUUUGAUCUAUCGAUGACCACCUGUGGCGAAGGCGGUCUACCAGAACACGUUCGACGGUGAGGGAUGAAAGCUGGGGGAGCAAACCGGGAUUAGAUACCCGGGGUAGUCCCAGCUGUAAACGAUGCAGACUUCGAAUGAAUGCAAUGGCAUAAUAGCCCAGUGCAGUGAUCGCCAAGGGUAAGGU